AAAACCAGAGUGGGGCUAGGGGGAGCAGGAGUACUAGUUAAAUUUUGAAAACAAAAGAUACUGAAAAAGUUGUGACUUUUUUUUAUUUUUUGAAGAAUAUUUGCCUAGCAACAAUUAAGCCCUGUAGGUUAACUUCCAGGUAAGUCAGCUUACAGUAAAAUCUUGCAGUCUCUUGAGUAAGACCAGCCCACUCUCAAUUCCAUGACUCUACACUUAACUUUGGUAAGCUUGAAGAAACUUCCAAAUGCUGAUUAUUGAAAUUAGUAUUCAAACUUAGAUUGGUAAAGAAGGAAUAAAAGUAUUUAAAGUGGAGUUCACAGUGGGAAAAUUAUUAAGAAUAUUUGGAGAAAAACAAUACAUUGGAUAUUGCUGCCACAGUUUACAUAGAAGGAUGAGAAGAUAGCAAGCAACUCUCUUCUGGAACUUGAGCCUGGCCAAAACCUGUGGUGCCUGGCUUCAGGACCUAAUGAAGCUCAGGCUCUUGAUGUCUCAUUGAAAAAACUUCAGUGAGAGACAGAAAGACAGGAACUUUGGACCACUGGACAAAACCCCAAGAGGGAUUGUCAGAAGACCCUC
Bubalus bubalis (water buffalo) is the source of this 576-nucleotide long non-coding RNA. RefSeq lists it as uncharacterized. NCBI's taxonomy places the organism in Eukaryota, Metazoa, Chordata, Mammalia, Artiodactyla, Bovidae. The transcript has 4 exons. The record is from RefSeq and is a predicted model, not a curated record.